This 243-nucleotide ribosomal RNA is filed under the name uncultured bacterium. RNAcentral's name for it is "partial 16S ribosomal RNA". It matches the Rfam family "Bacterial small subunit ribosomal RNA", at positions 524 to 768 of the family's 1533-position model. The record is from RNAcentral.
UACGUAGGGGCAGGCGUUGUCCGGAAUCAUUGGGCGUAAAGCGCACGUAGGCGGCUUUCUAAGUCGGGGUGAAAUCCUGGAGCUCAACUCCAGAACUGCCUUCGAUACUGGAAAGCUCGAGUCCGGGAGAGGUGAGUGGAACUGCGAGUGUAGAGGUGAAAUUCGUAGAUAUUCGGAAGAACACCAGUGGCGAAGGCGACUCGCUGGACAGACAUUGACGCUGAGGUGCGAAAGCGUGGGGAG